ACGAACGCUGGCGGCGUGCUUAACACAUGCAAGUCGAACGGUGAAGCGCCUUCCUUUUUGGUGGGUGUGGAUGAGUGGCGAACGGGUGAGUAACACGUGAGUAACCUGCCCCCUUCUUCUGGAUAACCGCAUGAAAGUGUGGCUAAUACGGGAUAUUCUGGGUCUGUCGCAUGAUGGGUCUGGGAAAGAUAUUGUUUCGUUGGGGGAUGGGCUCGCGGCCUAUCAGCUUGUUGGUGGGGUGAUGGCCUACCAAGGCGGUGACGGGUAGCCGGCCUGAGAGGGUGGACGGUCACACUGGGACUGAGACACGGCCCAGACUCCUACGGGAGGCAGCAGUGGGGAAUAUUGCACAAUGGGCGCAAGCCUGAUGCAGCGACGCCGCGUGAGGGAUGGAGGCCUUCGGGUUGUGAACCUCUUUCGCCAGUGAAGCAGGCCUGCCUCGUUUGUGGGUGGGUUGACGGUAGCUGGAUAAGAAGCGCCGGCUAACUACGUG
Molecule: ribosomal RNA, 493 nt
Filed under: uncultured bacterium
Lineage: Bacteria
Description: partial 16S ribosomal RNA
Rfam family: Bacterial small subunit ribosomal RNA
Source: RNAcentral